AAACUAGCCUGCAGUCGACGAUUCCUACGGGAGGCAGCAGUGGGGAAUAUUGCACAAUGGGCGGAAGCCUGAUGCAGCAACGCCGCGUGCGGGAUGACGGCCUUCGGGUUGUAAACCGCUUUCGCCUGUGACGAAGCGUGAGUGACGGUAAUGGGUAAAGAAGCACCGGCUAACUACGUGCCAGCAGCCGCGGUGAUACGUAGGGUGCGAGCGUUGUCCGGAUUUAUUGGGCGUAAAGGGCUCGUAGGUGGUUGAUCGCGUCGGAAGUGUAAUCUUGGGGCUUAACCCUGAGCGUGCUUUCGAUACGGGUUGACUUGAGGAAGGUAGGGGAGAAUGGAAUUCCUGGUGGAGCGGUGGAAUGCGCAGAUAUCAGGAGGAACACCAGUGGCGAAGGCGGUUCUCUGGGCCUUUCCUGACGCUGAGGAGCGAAAGCGUGGGGAGCGAACAGGCUUAGAUACCCUGGUAGUCCACGCUGUAAACGGUGGGUACUAGGUGUGGGGUCCAUUCCACGGGUUCCGUGCCGUAGCUAACGCUUUAAGUACCCCGCCUGGGGAGUACGGCCGCAAGGCUAAAACUCAAAGGAAUUGACGG
Molecule: ribosomal RNA, 591 nt
Filed under: uncultured Propionibacterium sp.
Lineage: Bacteria; Bacillati; Actinomycetota; Actinomycetes; Propionibacteriales; Propionibacteriaceae
Description: bacterial SSU rRNA
Rfam family: Bacterial small subunit ribosomal RNA
Source: RNAcentral